CGAGCAGUGGGGAUUAAGAGGAAAAUAAUAGUAGAGAACAAAAUCAGAGCUUGGCAUGGCUCUCUGCUGGCACCGUGCAGGGUGUGAUUACAUCAGAUCUGUGCAACUCAGAUCUUGGGGAGGGGUUGGGGGGUGGAAGGUGGAGGGAGGAAGGGAGAGAAAACAGAGGGCGGGAAGAAGGGAAGGAAGUGAAGAAGGGAAUGAGGGACGGAAAGAGAGAGACAGCGAAGAGAGGAGAAAGAGUUUCAGAAUUUGGCAAAAGUCUCAAGGCUCAAGCUGGUUGUCUGAAGCCUUUCAAACCCCCAGUUUUAUCACCACAUAUGAGGCCAGUGAAGGAGUGUGGCUCCGAUAGGAUUGACAACUACUACCUUAGAUGAUGAAUCAAGCUCAGAAGGGAUCCCUCUGGAUUUCCCUGCGCCAUGUAAGAAGUGCCUGCUUUCCCUUUGCCUUCUGCUAUGAUUGUUUCCUGAGGCCUCCCCAGUCAUGUUACCUGUACAGCCUGCAGAACUGUGAAGAAACCGAGGCAAUGAACAAAGUAAUAUACCCAAGAUCACAUUGCCAGUGAAUGGGAGAGCUGACGUUUCAAUCUACACAGAACCUGUGCUCUUAGCUAUCUAACCGCUUUACUUGGAAGUGAUGUGAGAUUAAAAAAAGAAGAAAAACAAAAUAUUUUCUUAUGCUUUCAAAAAGUUCAAAAGUAAGUUACAAGAUUUAUGCUGCAUUUUAAUCUAUGAUCUUGAUUACUCAUCAAUUGGAUUAUGUACCCACUUUUUUUUUUUUUUUUUUUUUGAGAUGGAGUCUCACUCUGUCUCCCAGGCUGGAGUGGAGUGCAGUGGUGUGAUCUUGGCUCACUGCAACCUCCACCUCUCUGGUUCAAGCAAUUCUCCCACCUCAGCCUCCCAAGUGGCUGGGGUUACAGGCCCACACCACCACGCCCAGCUAAUUUUUGUAUUUUUAGUAGAGACAGGGUUUUGCCAUGUUGGUUAGGCUGGUUUCAAUCUCCUGACCUCAGGUGAUCCUCCCACCUCAGCCUCCCAAAGUGCUAGGAUUCCAGUCAUAAGCCACUGUGCCCGGCCUGUAUUCACUAUUUAUUUUUAUUUUUUGAAAUUUUUGUGGGUACCCAGUAGGUGUAUACAUAUAUAUAUUUUAACUCUUGAAAAUUUUUGAAUAUUCACUAUUUUAUAACUCCAUACAAGUAUUUUAAACUAAUUUUCUGGUUUUUCUAGUUAUUAAUUUUUUUACCUUAACUCAAAUAAAGAAUAAUUUAAAAGGUGAAGUGUUACAAGUUAAGAGACUCAAGUUCUAGUCUUGGCUUUGCCAUGAAAUUACUGUGUGAAUUUGGUCUAGGCUUUGGUUUCCUCAUGUUUGUUAGCAUGUUCCUCUCUUUAGCUAAAACAGUUCAGUGUAUGUAAAGUGUCAUUCUAUGAACUGAAGAGAUCCUGCCUGUUGAGUUGCAGAUGGCUGGGCAGGUUGCCAAGGGGCUGGUUUCUCCAUGCUGGCUUUUGUGUCUGCAUGCUACAGUUCCCCCCGCACGUCUUGACUACUCACCAGCACAAGAUAUCACACAGACAUGCUUGAGCUGGCCAGGAUCCAGGAUGAUAUUUAGAAAGAAGAGAAUAAAAGCUUAAGGAUGAUCAAGUCCUCUUAAGUAAUAUUAAACAAAAGCAUACUAUUUUCCUUCUAAUUUCCUCUCAAGGCACUUCUCAUGUUAGCAAAGAAAAUGACAAGAUGAGUGUCAGCCUGUCAUAUUUUCUGAUGUAAUGUAUGGGCUAGUAGCUCAUCACAAAAUCAACCAUUUUAUAGGAACUAGAUAAGUUUCAGUGCCAAGCCUUGUUCUCAAGCAGCAGGAUGCCUGCUAAGCAGGGUCCAUAUAAGCUAGAGUUUUGAAAUUAUAGUGAUAUUUUUAUUUUAAGGCAUUCAAGAGCAAAAGCAAAUAGUGGAAGGUUCUCAUUCAUCAAAUGCAAUGACCUUAUUGUUUAGAAAAAAUAAGAUGUGACUAUUACCAAAAAUGCUAUUUUAAAAGUAUAAUCACCUUCUUUUCAGUCUGCCAUGAAAAUUCAUGGAGACCAAAAAUGAUUAAUACAUUAUUUUGUAACUUGCUACCCAAAACAGGGUGGUUUGUUUUCCAAAUUUUGUAUUCUUUGCAUAUUUAAAGUUACUUACUGAGAGUUUUCCAUGUGUAAGGAAUUGAAGGAACAAACUCACAAUCUCUGUUACAAGAUUUAAAAGAAAUUUUUGGAGGCACAUGAACAUCUGCAAUUUCAUUUGUAAAGUAUCCAAGAAUCUGUCGCCUUAGUAACAAUCAAAUGCAUUAAAUGCUAAACGCUGAUUAAAUAGAGUUGAAAAUGGAUUUGUUAGUUAUCCCUCUAAGAAUUUUAACUCCAGCCGCUAGCCCUCUCCUCCCCUUUGCAAUGCAACUAUGCCUUCAAAUAGUGUUCUUUAAAAGGAGGCUUUACGGCUUUGGAGGAAUAAGCUGAUUUCACAGCCAGUUUUGCCACUGCUGUGGAAAACAGAGUACACAUGCAAGACUGCUGAAGUCAUACAAACUGCAAGGAUUAUGGCUGUGGGGGCCUCCACAACUCCUGUCAAACUGCAAUUGGAAACAGCUUCUCCAAAGGACAACAUGAGAAAUCAGGAAUUCUUGUCCAUGGCUCCCCAACCUGCUGGGUUUCUAAUCAGGCCUGGCAUGACCCAUUAGAGAUCAGACAUAGGAAAAUCACAAUGAAACUAGGGUAUCUUCUGUUUUCCAAGCUUCACUCCCCCAGAUCCUUUUCAAGCCUGUAAUUAUUGUCUCUCACCAGUUAAUAAGGGAACCGUUUCUCCAUGGGGACAGGAGCUUCUGGAAGGCUGGACCCAAUCAUUACAGGCUCAGUCCAGGGCCUUUCCUUCACACCAACUACUGCAGCCACUCCCAGAGCCCCUGGAACUCCGGCCCAAGGCUCUCUGACUGACUCCUUCCCAGAUCUUCUCGGCUUAGCAGCUGAAGACUGACACUGCCCGAUCACCUCGGAAGCCCCCUAGACCAUCACGGACGCCGAGCUGCCAGUAACUCUCACAGUGGAAGGUAAGCCCAUCCCCUUCUUAAUCAAUACGGAGGCUACCCACUCCACAUUACCUUCUUUACAAAGGCCUGUUUCCCUUGCCUCCAUAACUGUUGUGGGUAUUGACGGCCAGGCUUCUAAAUCUCUUAAAACUCCCCAACUCUGGUGCCAACUUAGACAAUACUCUUUUAAGCACUCCUUUUUAGUUAUCCCCACCUGCCCAGUUCCCUUAUUAGGCCGAGACACUUUAACUAAAUUAUCUGCUUCCCUGACUAUUCCUGGGCUACAGCCACACCUCAUUACUGCCCUUCUUCCCAAUCCAAAGCCUCCUUUGCGUCCUCCUCUUGUAUCCCCCUACCUUAACCCACAAGUAUAAGAUACCUCUACUCCCUCCUUGGUGACCGAUCAUGCACCCCUUACCAUCUCAUUGAAACCUAAUCACCCUUACCCCGCUCAACGCCAAUAUCCCAUCCCACAGCAUGCUUUGAAAAGACUAAAGCCUGUUAUCACUCUCCUGCUACAGCAUGGCCUUUUAAAGCCUAUAAACUCUCCUUACAAUUCCCCCAUUUCACUUGUCCUAAAACCAGACAAGCCUUACAAGUUAGUUCAGGAUCUAUGCCUUAUCAACCACAUUGUUUUGCCUAUCCACCCCAUGGUGUCAAACCCAUAUACUCUCCUAUCCUCAAUACCUCACUCCAUAAUCCAUUAUUGUGUUCUGGAUCUCAAACAUGCUUUCUUUACUAUUCCUUUGCACCCUUCAUCCCAGCCUCUUUUCACUUUCACUUGGACUGACCCUGACACCCAUCAGGCUCAGCAAAUUACCUGGGCUGUACUGCCCCAAAGCUUCACAGACAGCCCCCA
This 3902-nucleotide long non-coding RNA is filed under the name Homo sapiens (human). RNAcentral's name for it is "HSALNT0225866". Lineage: Eukaryota; Metazoa; Chordata; Mammalia; Primates; Hominidae. The record is from RNAcentral.